GUUAUAAGACGAGUCGGGAAAGUUUUUUCGCUAAGAGAUCAGUCUAUGUCCUAUCAGCUAGUUGGUGAGGUAAUGGCUCACCAAGGCUAUGACGGGUAUCUGGUUUGAGAGGAUGAUCAGACACACUGGAACUGAGACACGGUCCAGACUCCUACGGGAGGCAGCAGUGAGGAAUAUUGCACAAUGGAGGAAACUCUGAUGCAGCAACGCCGCGUGGAGGAUGACGCAUUUCGGUGUGUAAACUCCUUUUAAGAGGGAAGAUAAUGACGGUACCUCUUGAAUAAGCACCGGCUAACUCCGUGCCAGCAGCCGCGGUAAUACGGAGGGUGCAAGCGUUACUCGGAAUCACUGGGCGUAAAGGGUGCGUAGGCUGGCUUCUAAGUCAGAUGUGAAAUCCAAUGGCUUAACCAUUGAACUGCAUUUGAAACUGGGAGCCUAGAGUUCAGAAGGGGGCAGAUGGAAUUAGUGGUGUAGGGGUAAAAUCCGUAGAUAUCACUAGGAAUAUCAAAAGCGAA
Molecule: ribosomal RNA, 515 nt
Filed under: uncultured Campylobacterota bacterium
Lineage: Bacteria; Pseudomonadati; Campylobacterota
Description: bacterial SSU rRNA
Rfam family: Bacterial small subunit ribosomal RNA
Source: RNAcentral